UGCUUGCAUACUGCUUUGGCCAGGACCAAAACGGAUGUGAAGUG
This is a non-coding RNA of Drosophila ficusphila, 44 nucleotides long. NCBI's taxonomy places the organism in Eukaryota, Metazoa, Arthropoda, Insecta, Diptera, Drosophilidae. The record is from Rfam.